GCACCGGCUAACUACGUGCCAGCAGCCGCGGUAAUACGUAGGGUGCAAGCGUUGUCCGGAAUUAUUGGGCGUAAAGAGCUCGUAGGCGGUUUGUCGCGUCUGCUGUGAAAUCCCGAGGCUCAACCUCGGGCUUGCAGUGGGUACGGGCAGACUAGAGUGCGGUAGGGGAGAUUGGAAUUCCUGGUGUAGCGGUGGAAUGCGCAGAUAUCAGGAGGAACACCGAUGGCGAAGGCAGAUCUCUGGGCCGUAACUGACGCUGAGGAGCGAAAGCAUGGGGAGCGAACAGGAUUAGAUACCCUGGUAGUCCAUGCCGUAAACGUUGGGCGCUAGAUGUAGGGACCUUUCCACGGUUUCUGUGUCGUAGCUAACGCAUUAAGCGCCCCGCCUGGGGAGUACGGCCGCAAGGCUAAAACUCAAAGGAAUUGACGGGGGCCCGCACAAGCGGCGGAGCAUGCGGAUUAAUUCGAUGCAACGCGAAGAACCUUACCAAGGCUUGACAUACACCGGAAACGGCCAGAGAUGGUCGCCCCCUUGUGGUCGGUGUACAGGUGGUGCAUGGUUGUCGUCAGCUCGUGUCGUGAGAUGUUGGGUUAAGUCCCGCAACGAGCGCAACCCUCGUUCUAUGUUGCCAGCGGGUUAUGCCGGGGACUCAUAGGAGACUGCCGGGGUCAACUCGGAGGAAGGUGGGGAUGACGUCAAAUCAUCAUGCCCCUUAUGUCUUGGGCUUCACGCAUGCUACAAUGGCCGGUACAAAGGGCUGCGAUACCGUAAGGUGGAGCGAAUCCCAAAAAGCCGGUCUCAGUUCGGAUUGAGGUCUGCAACUCGACCUCAUGAAGUCGGAGUCGCUAGUAAUCGCAGAUCAGCAACGCUGCGGUGAAUACGUUCCCGGGCCUUGUACACACCGCCCGUCAAGUCAUGAAAGUCGGUAACACCCGAAGC
This 939-nucleotide ribosomal RNA is filed under the name Curtobacterium sp. RNAcentral's name for it is "bacterial SSU rRNA". It matches the Rfam family "Bacterial small subunit ribosomal RNA", at positions 490 to 1427 of the family's 1533-position model. Lineage: Bacteria; Bacillati; Actinomycetota; Actinomycetes; Micrococcales; Microbacteriaceae. The record is from RNAcentral.